This is a long non-coding RNA of Cyprinus carpio (common carp), 1658 nucleotides long. NCBI's taxonomy places the organism in Eukaryota, Metazoa, Chordata, Actinopteri, Cypriniformes, Cyprinidae. The record is from Ensembl.
UUUUGUGUCUUUAUUAGGCUAAUAUGAUUAUCAUAUGUCAACAAUUAAGAAAAUAAUUUUCAAAAAAAAAAACCUGCGAAAGAUUCAGCUAUCUGGGUGUAGCUAGUGAAACAAGAUUGAUUGCUUCAGUGAAUUGUUUUACUGUCGAGGGACUUAAAUAACCCAUUUAACAUUACACGAGAACGGACUCCUUCUGGACCGUUUGCGGCGUCUCUUCCCUCAGAUCACAGAGAGGAAAUCAUCAUCUUCAUCAUCAUCAUCAUCAUCAUCACACGGACUCAGAUGUCCCGCGGCGCUGCGUCGGUGAAAUUGGAUAUUUAAGGCAGCGCAGAAAGCAGUUCACAUUCACUCUCCGCGGCGCGCGGCCAGAGAGACGCUCUGCAACUGACUGACAGAUAAUAUGAGACUACAGUCUUGAGAACGAACGACGCUCCAUAACGUGACCGGGAGGAGAACGAGGUACACGGACUCUGUGAGUCCUCGGUGAACGCGGAGGCUGCUUGAGGAGGACGGUGGAUGACCGCGAGCGCUCACUUCAGAAGAGCGCGUGUCACUGAACUCAGCUGCAGCAAGGCAGCAGAAGCAGAAGAGCUGAAGGUGACCUGUGGCUGGGCCGGGGGCUGCAACACAGGACAUGGGAGCUGCCUCUCACUCCCGCUCGUGUCUUGUGUUGCAGCCAGUGGAACUGCUGCACUGUCCACAUCAGAGAAGGAAGGAAGCAUCGCGCUCUGGGAACAUUACACCAUCUUACAGUUGCUGUCUGUCAAAUCUUUGCUCCUCUCAUCUUCUUCUAAAAGGAAAACACAGAGCUGAUAAUGACAUCAAACAGGCUUCCAUAUCGACUGAUCGUCCCAGUUGUCAUCGUAAAACAUUAAACACUCGGAGUGGAAAGAAGACUGCGGGAGGGGCAGCGGAAACACGGGGAGGUGAAAUGGAGGACAGGGAAACCAGACAAGACUGAUAUUGGUGCGAGCGCUGGGGAUGUUGGUUUGAUGGCCAACAACCAUGAAAGCACCUCAGCGUGCAGCAGCACUGAAGGAUUUCAUUGUACUCGCUUUUGAUAAAUAUGAGGGGGAGUGAAGCCAGGAACAAUUCCAGCAGUGUUAUCAGGAGCAAACAGGCAGAGUCAUGGGGCCCCAUCUGCAGGAACGAGAUCGCAGCCAUGUUGCUCACUUUCCUGCGCGAGCGUGGACAGGCCGUGACUCAUUCAGCUGGCAGAGGGAAGCCGAUUCUCCAGAGCAUCUCCUAGACUGCCAACUUAUUUAUUGAUAAAGACAAGUGACCCUGUUUAAACAGGCAGCAUCAUCUUUCCUUAUUUUCACUCCACAAAUAUAACCCAUGUUUAUGUCCAUUUAUAUAUAAAUAUAUAUUUUACAUGUAUAGAUAUUAAUAUAUAUGUAUAAUAUUUUAGAAUAUGGAUGUAUAUUUAUCAAUAUAAUGUAAUUGUUAAAAUAUAUGGGGGAAAUUCAGGUUAAUUGGGAUAUUCAGUCAUCAUCUCAAUAGCAAAAAGUAUCCUAAUUUACCUGAAUUCACCCUAAUAAUAACAAUACAUAAUGUAGAAUAUAUGUGUGUGUGUGUGUGUGUGUGUGCAGUGACAACAGUGUGUNUAAAUGAAAAUAUAUAAUAAAUUUUUUUAAAUAAAAUAAAUAUGUAGCCUA